This 95-nucleotide non-coding RNA is filed under the name Alistipes sp. CHKCI003. RNAcentral describes it as "TPP riboswitch aptamer (THI element)". It matches the Rfam family "TPP riboswitch aptamer (THI element)". Rfam says of the family: Vitamin B(1) in its active form thiamin pyrophosphate (TPP) is an essential coenzyme that is synthesised by coupling of pyrimidine and thiazole moieties in bacteria. The previously detected thiamin-regulatory element, thi box was extended, resulting in a new, highly conserved RNA secondary structure, the THI element, which is widely distributed in eubacteria and also occurs in some archaea. The record is from Rfam by way of RNAcentral. Lineage: Bacteria; Pseudomonadati; Bacteroidota; Bacteroidia; Bacteroidales; Rikenellaceae. RNAcentral also lists the same sequence under 1 other name.
GAUAUUUCCAAGGGGUGCCCUACCGUCGGGCUGAGAUUAUACCCAUUGUACCGGAUACGGGUAAUGCCGAGACCGGGAUGCAUAAUCAAUAACAC